Trematomus bernacchii (emerald rockcod) is the source of this 852-nucleotide long non-coding RNA. RefSeq lists it as uncharacterized. The record is from RefSeq and is a predicted model, not a curated record. NCBI's taxonomy places the organism in Eukaryota, Metazoa, Chordata, Actinopteri, Perciformes, Nototheniidae. The transcript has 2 exons.
AAAAAGACACGGGAUCUGCGGGUCACAGAGGACCUCAGGGUCCUUCAGUGGAAUCAACAGCAUCAAAUUAUGCAACAUGGCAGUCUGGCCGGAGUCCGAUGAACACCUCCACCAACGUGCCGUCACCCAACAAGAGCACCCCCGGUCUGCUGCCUCGCCCACCGACACAAACCAUCCACGGGCGAACGGAUUGGUCUGCCAAAUAUGGACACCGCUAGUGCCCUCACUUCAAACUCUUUCACCUCCAAAGAGUAGGCCUAGUUGUUUUAUAAUAUAAGUCUGUACAUACAUCUUACACAGCAAUAACUUUUAAUGUUUUUCAUUAUGUGUACUAUGAAUGUUGUGAGAUGUAAAAAUAUCUAUAUGUAUAUUUAAAUGCAAGCGGCCAAAGUUUGGGCCCAGAUUUGCUCCUCAGUGUUUCAUUUUGUAUUUCUGUAUUAAAGCUACAGAGGUCACAACUUCAGUUGUGUAUCAGAUGUAUCAUUGAAUGUUCACCAACCUGUAUACAUAAUAUGCAUAUUAUAAUUGUAUGGAAACUUCACUGUGACCUGUAUUUGGCUGCAACUAAUUACUUUGCCUUUGUACAGUUUGGUGUGUUUUCCUUUUUCCCUGCUGUUUUUUUAUGACGGUAGCCUUGUCAAUCAGGUUACUAUUAUUUGUGCAUUAUAUGUUUUUAAUAAAAUGUAAUGCCUUGCUCUAUUUUCAAUUAAACAAUGCAAAUGGUUGCCACAAUGUACAAUUCAGUUUUAUUUCUGAAUUAAAAUGAUCCAAGACAACACGUUAUACCCCCUUGGCCAAAGUGAGUGUGAUUAUUGAAUUGCCUGUUAUUGAAUAUAAUUAAACUGUUGACUG